This 2252-nucleotide long non-coding RNA is filed under the name Lactuca sativa (garden lettuce). Its description in RNAcentral is "long non-coding RNA (LSAT_LNC006972)". The record is from RNAcentral. Lineage: Eukaryota; Viridiplantae; Streptophyta; Magnoliopsida; Asterales; Asteraceae.
AAAAAUACAGUCUAAAAAUUUCAUUUUAAGUCAUUAAUAAAACCAUAUCUAUCAUUCAACAUAUAGAAAUCAUGAAUCGUGUAUCCCAAGAAUAUCUUAAUGUCUAUCAAAUAUAUAUCAGAGUAUAAACAUCUCAGGCUGAAUAAAUGGUGUGUGCACUGCAAUCAUCCCGAGCUCCUCUUUUGAAAACCGAAGUACCUGAAACCAAAACUGAAAACCGUAAGCACGAAGCUUAGUGAGUCUCCCCAAACUACCACAUAUCAUACACAUAAUCAUACUACUGAGAGAUACGGGCCCCGCCCACACUCCGCUAACUAGGAGAUACGGGCCCCGCCCACACUCGGCUGCUUUGAGAUACGGGCCCCGCCCACACUCAGCUACUAUGAGAUACGGGCCCCGCCCACACUUAGCUAGUCAUAAAGAUACAUACAAGUACUCCACAAACAACAAGUAUCACUAAGCAUACACAUCUGUACCAUAUCAGUCAUCUAUGAGAUAUAGGCCCCACCCACACUCAGCUACUAUGAGAUACGAGCCCAGCCCACACUCAGCUACUAUGAAAUACGGGCCCCGCCCACACUCACAUUCCUAAAAACACAUACAUGUAUCAUACAGGCAACAAGUAUAACAAUCCAUUAAUCUGACUGCUAUCUAUACUCAGAUAAUAAUAAGAUACGGGCCUCGCCCACACUCAAUUACUAACGUAUCACAUAUACGGGUCGGCCUUGGUGCCUUAGACCCGUUCCUACUGGAAGAGGACUUACCUCACACUGCUAAAGUCCCGCUGACAAAAUCAUAACUGCUAAAUGAAAGAUUCAUGAUCUGUCAAAUAUCAAAAUAACACCCAAUUAAUAAUUGGGUUCCAACUCAUGUCCAUAAGUCCAUACUUGGGGUAAAAGACUACUUUACCCCUAUCUUAGCUUGAUUCAAGCCCAAGGCCCAAUCCAAAGGCCCAAUAGUCUGAUAAUCAACUAAAGCCCAACUAUGGCCCAAUUUUCUAAAUUGGGCCCAAAUCCUUCACACGGUCUUACUUUAAAGGCCCAACCAUUUAAUUGAUCCAAACACUUGGCAAUCCAAUAGUCCAAUACCUCAUAAUCUUCAAGGCCCAAAUAUGGCCCAUCUAUGGCCCGAUUUUCCCAAUUGGGCCCAAUCCUGCCCAAUGGGCCUUAUCUUAAAGCCCAGUCAAAUACUCUAGUCCUUAUACUUGUUCUUGGAUGGUCCAUCAAUAGCCUAAAACAUCUAGGCCCAACUCCAAACCCAACAAAUUAGGGUUUUCACAUGAAAUGAUAAGUUGGGUUAAUUAUAAACACUUAACUCAUUAAUGACUUAAUCCAUUAAGUUCAUCAGUUUACUAGGUCAUUCAUACAGUGUAAUUGGGCAUAAUUCAUAUUUCAAUUCCAAUGGUCCAUAACGCGGGUCCCGAUAGAUCCAAACCAACAAACCCAAAAUUAAGGUUUUCUAAACCCUAAUUAGGGUUUCUAACCCAAACAUGAGUCAACCAAGUCCAACAUUAAGUUGUUAGGUCCAUUAGGGUUCUACAAGGCCAGGCACCACCCACUGCCACCUCGGGCAGUGGUGGUCGACGACGGCUCACGGUGGCAGGCGGCGACNGGGCGCCAGCCACCAUUUUCAAUGGUGGUGGCUUAUAAUCUUGACUAAACUCCAUCAAAACAACCUGGAAAACAACAUACACCUUACUACACUCACACACACGCACACAGCCACCAUCAUAAGGUGGUUGGCGGUGGAAGAACGAUGGCAGCCACCACCUUAUGGUGGUGGCGGUGGAUUUACGGCCAAAUAAAACAUCCACACACACUAAUAGGCUUGUUACAGCAUCAUACAAACACUAGCACCAUCAAAAUCCAAGAAACAUACCAACAUGGCCACCCUUGAGGUGGCAGCGGCGGUCGGAGCUGCAACGACUCGCACCACAGUCGACGACAUGGCUGAAGGCGGAACAUAAGAAGAAGAAUAAGAGGGAGGAGCGUCUGAGUGCACCAUCAACACCGCCUGACGUCGCCUCCAGCAGCCUUGGCAUCGCUGAGAUUGGUCCUCUCGUCCGUGCAUGACAUCAUCGGCAUUAGGUGUCGCAGUAGCUGCUCGGUUGCUCCUGUCGCCACCAGCAGCGAGCUAUGGUGGUCGAUCUUUGCUAAGUGGCGGCUGGAGAUACUACCCAUGGUGGUGGCGGUUGGAGUAUAGCGAUUAGGGUUCGCUGAUUCAUUCCAAACGAGAGGGGAAAGAGAUAUGGG